GACGAACGCUGGCGGCGUGCUUAACACAUGCAAGUCGAACGGUAAGGCCCCUUCGGGGGUACACGAGUGGCGAACGGGUGAGUAACACGUGGGUGAUCUGCCCUGCACUCUGGGAUAAGCCUGGGAAACUGGGUCUAAUACCGGAUAUGAGCUCCUGUCGCAUGGCGGGGGUUGGAAAGGUUUACUGGUGCAGGAUGGGCCCGCGGCCUAUCAGCUUGUUGGUGGGGUAAUGGCCUACCAAGGCGACGACGGGUAGCCGGCCUGAGAGGGCGACCGGCCACACUGGGACUGAGACACGGCCCAGACUCCUACGGGAGGCAGCAGUGGGGAAUAUUGCACAAUGGGCGAAAGCCUGAUGCAGCGACGCCGCGUGAGGGAUGACGGCCUUCGGGUUGUAAACCUCUUUCAGCAGGGACGAAGCGAGAGUGACGGUACCUGCAGAAGAAGCACCGGCCAACUACGUGCCAGCCGCCGCGGUAA
Molecule: ribosomal RNA, 480 nt
Filed under: uncultured bacterium
Lineage: Bacteria
Description: partial 16S ribosomal RNA
Rfam family: Bacterial small subunit ribosomal RNA
Source: RNAcentral